Uranotaenia lowii is the source of this 505-nucleotide long non-coding RNA. RefSeq lists it as uncharacterized. NCBI's taxonomy places the organism in Eukaryota, Metazoa, Arthropoda, Insecta, Diptera, Culicidae. The transcript has 3 exons. The record is from RefSeq and is a predicted model, not a curated record.
UCGAUGGAACGUUCUGCUGCUUUGCGUCAACUUUCUUCAACGAUUACGGAACUCCGACUCGGAUCAACACCGUCAAAGUGCUAGUCAAAAACGUUCCGGACUUUAGCGCCUCCCGGGAAAAGAACGAUCUGGGCGUCCUGACGAUCGAUCUCAAGGUUGUUCAACUGGAGCAUGAAGCAGCUAUUCACGUAUUUGACCAGACUUCAAGAACAAGAACACUAAGUCCUUAUUCUGGGACGAUGCGGCCCCCCUAAGAAGAUUCUAAAAGCUAUCAUUCCGGUUAAGGAUAUAGAAAAAAUUGUCCCCAGUGAUUUGCUCGAACAAAUGAAAAGUCCGGAGCGUGAGGAAAUAUCGACGGAACCAAAGAUUGAUCUUAAUUCCACACCAAAUGCAUCGUUGGUUUUUCCGGAGUAUCUUUUACCAAAAGCGACCCCGAAGAUCCCGGUUCAAACUCCUUCUAAGAUUUACAGCAUCAUGAACAAUUCGUUGGCGGAACGUGUCAGCA